AGUGGGAUAGCUGGGUCACUUGGUUGGUCCUUUUCUAACCUUUUUAGAAAUCUUCAAACUGCUUUCCAAAGUGGUUGUACUAAUUUGCAGUCCCACCAACGAU
Molecule: microRNA precursor, 103 nt
Filed under: Marmota monax (woodchuck)
Lineage: Eukaryota; Metazoa; Chordata; Mammalia; Rodentia; Sciuridae
Source: RNAcentral